AUCGCCGCCUCAGGCGUGCGCGGACGGUGUGCGGCGCACACAACCAAGCUUAGGAGCCGACUGUUAAGAUGCCCCAGUGACACGGACAAGUUUCUCCUCUGCAACCCAAUGAGAGCUGCUGACCACGAGAGCAUCGCGGGACCGCCAAAGGAUUCUGGAAAAUGUGGUCCCGGGUGGCCAGUGUGCGCUGACCUUCACCUGAAGGUACGGCUUGAAGGAAACUUCUGGAGGGUGGGGUGGUGUUGAAGAGAAGGCACAAUUGUCACCAUUUUGUUCAACAUGGGCGUUUUCUUUGUGCAUUGAUUUGCAUUUUUAAAGGAACUCCUCCUCAAAACAGAAGAAGCCUAUAGGAUUUUAACCUGGAAACUACUCAGGGAAUCUGGAAUAUUCCUUCCAGGGAUAUCUGCAGCUGAAACCUGGCAGUAAUUUAAACAAAACCAGACAACUCUUGGGGUAUGGUUGGAGCCUGAGGUCUACAGAUGGGUCAUUUUAUAUGCUGAGGUCUGAACAAGAUGAUUUUAACCCCUUAAAAUGAUGGAAACAAAAUAAAACAGAAUAAAUUAGAAGACAACACAGGUGAGUAGUUUAAAG
RNAcentral lists this long non-coding RNA (591 nucleotides) under Homo sapiens (human). RNAcentral describes it as "non-protein coding lnc-ZNF146-1:1". The record is from RNAcentral. Lineage: Eukaryota; Metazoa; Chordata; Mammalia; Primates; Hominidae.